ACUCCUACGGGGAGGCAGCAGUGGGGGAAUAUUGGCACAAUGGGCGCAAGCCUGAUGCAGCCAUGCCGCGUGUGUNAAGAAGGCCUUCGGGUUGUAAAGCACUUUCAGUCGUGAGGAAGGUAGUGUAGUUAAUAGCUGCAUUAUUUGACGUUAGCGACUAGAAGAAGCACCGGCUAACUCCGUGCCAGCAGCCGCGGUAAUACGGAGGGUGCGAGCGUUAAUCGGAAUUACGUGGGG
RNAcentral lists this ribosomal RNA (237 nucleotides) under uncultured bacterium. Its description in RNAcentral is "partial 16S ribosomal RNA". It matches the Rfam family "Bacterial small subunit ribosomal RNA", at positions 335 to 560 of the family's 1533-position model. The record is from RNAcentral.